This 382-nucleotide ribosomal RNA is filed under the name uncultured euryarchaeote. Its description in RNAcentral is "bacterial SSU rRNA". It matches the Rfam family "Archaeal small subunit ribosomal RNA", at positions 471 to 851 of the family's 1478-position model. The record is from RNAcentral. Lineage: Archaea; Methanobacteriati; Methanobacteriota.
UAAUACCAGCAGUUCAAGUUGCAUCCCUUUUUAUUGGGUCUAAAACAUCCGUAGCUUGCCGUUUAAGUCCUUUGUGAAAUCCUGCGUCUCAAGCGCAGGGCUUGCAGAGGAUACUGAGCGGCUAGAGAUCGGUAGACGUAAGGAGUACGCCGGAGGUAAUGGUUAAAUAUGUUAAUCUUCGGUGGACUAACAAUGAGCGAAGGCACCUUACGAGGACGAAUCUGACAGUGAGGGAUGAAGGCCAGGGGCGCAAAACGGAUUAGAUACCCGUGUAGUCCUGGCAGUAAACACUGUUCACUAAACAUCGGGCCCUCUUCGGGAGGAUUCGGUGCUGAAGCGAAGGCGAAGAGUGAACUACCUGGGAAGUAUAGUCGCAAGAUCG